Molecule: ribosomal RNA, 492 nt
Filed under: uncultured bacterium
Lineage: Bacteria
Description: partial 16S ribosomal RNA
Rfam family: Bacterial small subunit ribosomal RNA
Source: RNAcentral
AGUGAACGCUGGCGGUAGGCCUAACACAUGCAAGUCGAACGGCAGCACAGUAAGAGCUUGCUCUUACGGGUGGCGAGUGGCGGACGGGUGAGGAAUACAUCGGAAUCUACUUUUUCGUGGGGGAUAACGUAGGGAAACUUACGCUAAUACCGCAUACGACCUACGGGUGAAAGCAGGGGAUCUUCGGACCUUGCGCGAUUGAAUGAGCCGGUGUCGGAUUAGCUAGUUGGCGGGGUAAAGGCCCACCAAGGCGACGAUCCGUAGCUGGUCUGAGAGGAUGAUCAGCCACACUGGAACUGAGACACGGUCCAGACUCCUACGGGAGGCAGCAGUGGGGAAUAUUGGACAAUGGGCGCAAGCCUGAUCCAGCCAUACCGCGUGAGUGAAGAAGACCUUCGGGUUGUAAAGCCCUUUUGUUGGGAAAGAAAAGCAGCAGGUUAAUACCCAGCUGUUCUGACGGUACCCAAAGAAUAAGCACCGGCUAACUUCGUG